UUGGAGGGCAAGUCUGGUGCCAGCAGCCGCGGUAAUUCCAGCUCCAAUAGCGUAUAUUAAAGUUGUUGCAGUUAAAAAGCUCGUAGUUGAAUUUCGGAAUCCAUCCGUCGGUCGGGCCUCACGGUCCGCACUGGUGUGAUGGAUUCCUACCUUCUGAAUAACCAGCAUGUCAUUAAUUUGGUGCGUUGGGGAAGCAGGACUGUUACCUUGAAAAAAUUAGAGUGCUUAAAGCAGGCUAGUGCCUGAAUACAUUAGCAUGGAAUAAUGAAAUAGGACGGCAUGGUUCUAUUUUGUUGGUUUCUAGGAUCACCGUAAUGAUUAAUAGGGAUAGUUGGGGGCAUUAGUACUCAAUUAUCAGAGGUGAAAUCCUUGGAUUUAUUGAAGACUAACUUCUGCGAAAGCAUUUGCCAAGGAUGUUUUCAUUAAUCAAGAACGAAAGUUAGGGGAUCGAAGACGAUCAGAUACCGUCGUAGUCUUAACCAUAAACUAUGCCGACUAGGGAUCGGACGAUGUUAAUUUUUUAAUGACUCGUUCGGCGCCUUACGGGAAAC
This 551-nucleotide ribosomal RNA is filed under the name uncultured Glomeromycotina. Its description in RNAcentral is "SSU rRNA". It matches the Rfam family "Eukaryotic small subunit ribosomal RNA", at positions 548 to 1098 of the family's 1831-position model. Lineage: Eukaryota; Fungi; Glomeromycota. The record is from RNAcentral.